This 717-nucleotide ribosomal RNA is filed under the name Triticum aestivum (bread wheat). RNAcentral describes it as "partial small subunit ribosomal RNA". The record is from RNAcentral. Lineage: Eukaryota; Viridiplantae; Streptophyta; Magnoliopsida; Poales; Poaceae.
AUUUGUUUGAUUCAGGAGAGGAUGACUGGAAGGAAACUUGGGACAGGAACCAGGCGUAGUGGAUUGUGGUAUAUGGAUCGUGAUGUGUCUAGGUCUGGUGCUAGUCUUAUUUUGGCUGUACUAGUUGGAGUAAGUGAGACAAUGGCGAUGAUCCAUCACUGUCGCAUGGGGCAUAUGGCUUUUGAUAAGAUGAGUAAGAUGUUUCCUGAUGUAAUGCGUGGAGUAGACAAGAGUAAGCUUGUGUGUGAUGCAUGUGAAUAUGCAAAGCACACAAGAAUCUCAUAUUUGAGUAAGGGGCUAAGGAGUAUAUCCCCGUUUAUGCUGAUUCACUCUGAUGUGUGGACAUGUCCUGUUGUUUCUGUUAGUGGAAUGAAAUAUUUUGUGACAUUUAUAGACUGCCACACUCGCAUGACUUGGGUGUACCUCAUGCGACAUAAAGAUGAGGUAUUCCAAUGUUUUCAGGAGUUUUAUGCCUAUGUGCGAAACCAAUUCAAUGUGCAGGUGCAGGUGAUCAGAUCUGACAAUGGAACUGAAUAUGUAAACAAGCAAUUUGGGGGUUUCCUGUCAGCACAAGGCAUAAUGCACCAAACAUCAUGUCCAGAUACCCCUGCUCAGAAUGGUGUUGCAGAAAGGAAAAACCGACACAUUUUAGAAGUGGCUCGAUCACUUAUGUUCACCAUGAAUGUGCCAAAUUCUUGUGGAGUGAAGCUGUCAUGA